This 566-nucleotide ribosomal RNA is filed under the name Paratrichodorus minor. RNAcentral describes it as "SSU rRNA". It matches the Rfam family "Eukaryotic small subunit ribosomal RNA", at positions 424 to 997 of the family's 1831-position model. The record is from RNAcentral. Lineage: Eukaryota; Metazoa; Nematoda; Enoplea; Triplonchida; Trichodoridae.
GGCAGCAGGCGCGCAAAUUACCCACUCUCAGAACGAGGAGGUAGUGACGAAAAAUAACGAGGUGGCCCUCUUUGAGGUCCAUCAUCGGAAUGGGUACAAUUUAAAUCCUUUAACGAGGAUCUAUUGGAGGGCAAGUCUGGUGCCAGCAGCCGCGGUAAUUCCAGCUCCAAUAGCGUAUACUAAAGUUGUUGCGGUUAAAAAGCUCGUAGUUGGAUCUGCGCCAGGUGGAAGCGGUCGCCCGAUGGGUUGUUACUGCUUACCUCUGGCUAACCAUUCGGUUUUCCCUUGAUGCUCUUAAGUGAGUGUCCUGGGUGACCGGAACGUUUACUUUGAAAAAAUUAGAGUGCUCAAAGCAGGCAUUUCGCCCGAAUAUUCGUGCAUGGAAUAAUAAAAGAGGUCCUUGUAGCCUUUUAUUGGUUAUCGCUACGAGGAAAUGAUCGAAGGGGACAGACGGGGGCAUUUGUAUUGCGACGUUAGAGGUGAAAUUCUUGGAUCGUCGCAAGACAAACUACUGCGAAAGCAUUUGCCAAGAAUGUUUUCAUCAAUCAAGAACGAAAGUCUGAGGU